CCUACGGGAGGCAGCAGUGAGGAAUAUUGGUCAAUGGGCGCGAGCCUGAACCAGCCAAGUAGCGUGAAGGAUGACUGCCCUACGGGUUGUAAACUUCUUUUAUACAGGAAUAAAGUGAGGCACGUGUGCCUUUUUGUAUGUACUUUAUGUAUAAGGAUCGGCUAACUCCGUGCCAGCAGCCGCGGUAAUACGGAGGAUCCGAGCGUUAUCCGGAUUUAUUGGGUUUAAAGGGAACGUAGAUGGGUUGUUAAGUCAGUUGUGAAAGUUUGCGGCUCAACAGUAAAAUUGCAAUUGAUACUGGCAGACUUGAGUGCAGGUGAGGUAGGCGGAAUUCGUGGUGUAGCGGUGAAAUGCUUAG
This 358-nucleotide ribosomal RNA is filed under the name uncultured bacterium. Its description in RNAcentral is "partial 16S ribosomal RNA". It matches the Rfam family "Bacterial small subunit ribosomal RNA", at positions 338 to 693 of the family's 1533-position model. The record is from RNAcentral.